AUGGAGCCUAUCUUUUAUGAGUCUCUUAAAAAAAAAAAAAACGAAAUUUGUUUCUGUGGCUACAGCAUUCCCGGAGUGCCAGCAACUGUUGCCCAAGGCUCCAGGACGUGCUGAGCCCCUGCCCGAAGGUCUGUUCUAGCUGCUGGUGACAGGCCAGGUGCCCACAGAGGAACAGGUGAACUGGCUGUCCAAGGAGUGGGCCAAGCGUGCAGCUCUUCCCUCCCAUGUGGUCACCAUGCUGGAUAACUUCCCCACCAACCUCCACCCCAUGUCUCAGUUCAGCGCCGCCAUCACAGCUCUGAACAGCGAGAGCAGCUUCGCCCAGGCCUACUCUGAGGGAGUCAACAAAGCCAAGUACUGGUGGGAGUUUGUCUAUGAAGACUCCAUGGAUCUUAUCGCUAAGCUGCCUUGCAUGGAGGCCAAUAUUUACCGCAACCUUUACCACGAGGGAAGCAGCAUCGUACCUCACCAUUCACAGGUCAGUUUUAUAGAGAAUGCUACUUCAUUCAUAAUUUAUGUGGUUGCAUUACUCAUUCAUUCACACACACUUCCCUUUCUCCUUUGCUACAGUGACCAUGAUGAUGGUAACGUGAGUGCCCACACCAGCCACUUGGUGGGCAGUGCCCUGUCUGACCCCUACCUCUCCUUCAGGGCAGCUAUGAACGGUCUGGCUGGACCCCUUCAUGGAUUGGCUAACCAGGUGCUGGUGUGGCUGACAGCACUGCAGAAGGAGAUGGGAGGAGAAGUGUCUGACGAGGCCAUGAGAGACUACAUCUGGAACACCCUCAAGUCUGGAAGGGUGGUUCCAGGCUAUGGCCACGCUGUCCUGAGGAAGACAGACCCCAGGUACACCUGCCAGCAGGAGUUUGCCUUCAAGCACUUGCCCGACGACCCCAUGUUCAAGCUGGUGCACACACUCUACAAGAUCGUGCCCAAUGUGCUGCUGGAGCAGGGCAAGGCCAAGAACCCCUGGCCCAACGUGGACGCCCACAGUGGAGUGCUUCUGCAGGUUUUUUAGGAGUACUACGCAUGACAGAGAUGAACUACUACACGGUGCUGUUCGGCGUGUCCCGAGCACUGGGGGUGCUGGCCCAGCUGAUUUGGAGCCGAGCCCUGGGCUUCCCCUGGAGCGCCCCAAGUCCAUGAGCACAAACAGACUCAUGACCCUGGUGGGAGCCAACAAUUCCGGGUAAAGAUGAAGUAUCAAAGGAAGAGGGGAGGAAGGCAAAGAAGAACAAAAGGGGGAGGUAGAGGGUAGGGGGAUGCAUAAGAUGCAGUACACUUAUAAAAAGAAGGGCCUUUGCUGGAUUUAGUCGGUUCAUGUCAGUGACACUAAUGUUGGGCGUACACCACACGACUUUCAAAUAUCGCUGAGCCUCUCACAUUAAUACCACUGUCUUUCCUGUAGUUUUCUGUCUUGCCAACGUAGUGAUACUCACGACACUAAAUGAUGUCACACACUACAAGAUUCUUCAUUUGGUCGUAAGGAUUCUCGAUACCAUGCUGUCUCUCAAAAAGAAUGUGAUGUGAUUGUGCAGCUAGAACGAGCUGUGGGCCAAAGAGCCUCAAAACAUUUUGUUAGACAUUCACGCUUGCCAUAGAGUUGAAAUAUUUAACCAAUACAUUUUGAAUUAAAUAACAUUGUGAACUUCAGAGCUGUACUGAUUUGACACUAGCUUUGGUUAAAGGGAAGUACAAACGUAGGCUAGUAGUCAUCACUCCUGUUCGAGAGUCAGUACACACAUUCAUACAACGCCAUCAUCUCACUGGCUUCUCUGGUGAGCUGUUGGCUGUUGCUGAUCACAGUUUUGAUCACUCAAAAUGUUUCGUUGCAGAUCUCACACUACAGGAGCAUAGCAGAGUUUGUGCUGAUAAAAUCAAACGUUUGAAAAUAUCAGGAUGACUCAGACAGGAUCGGUAGCCCUCAGAUUGCGUCUCUGGCCCGCUCACAUUAUACGAGCGUCAGUAACGGCCGUGCGCCCUGACUAAGCAACGACUUGGGAAUUUUGUCUCCGAUCUCAAACUUGUCUGGGACAGGUAAAUCGGGCCAAAAUCAUGUAGUGUACUUAUGGUUUAUGGUAAUAUUUUUUUUAUUUUGUGAGACUGAGCCAUGCUAGUUGAGUCUUAUAUAUUUAAGCUGACCUGGUUUUGUAAAGAACUCAAAAUAUCAUGUCAAUUUUUCAGUUGGAGAAUCUGGGGCACUUGCAUUGUCAGACGGAAUUUUCCAAAAUAACGAAACAAAAGACAACAAUCCAUGGCAGGCAAGGUCCUUCUUUAAUAUAACCACAGAAGAAUAUGUACAGUCUGCAAAUGACCAGGGUCUGUAGGUUCGUAAAAGUAUACUGCUGCCCCUUUCAUCAAUGAUUGAUGUCACACCACUAUAAAUCAAGGCCAAGUUCACUUAUUACACCAUUUUGUGCCAGUGUUCGCCAAACCCAUUGCACUUCUGGUAAACGGAAUACUAUGCAGGUUGCUUUGUACAGUGCUUCACAAAUAGCUCUGUUCUAUUGGGAAGGGAGGUUGUUUUGAAAAGUGAUCAGGUUAAGAAGACAGCACUGUUUUCCAUUUUUAUUUUAAAUCUACCUGAGAUGAAAGGGUUGACAUAAAAAAAAUGUUUUAUUAUAUUGUGUUAUAUCACACUUAGGGGUAAUCUUUCUUGUAGAGUUUUUCUUCAAGACCCGAGGGCAACAUAAAAAUAUCAAUGGAACAUUUCCUUCUAAUCAAAAACGAAUGUAAUUCGAGAGCUGGCAAGCAUUGACUAAAUAGUACGCGUGUCUCAAUCGAUGUACUAUUAGAAUGUUUUGUAAAUGUUUGUUUUAGAAAGUCUGCUGGUUUUACUAUGUCCAACUGUAAUGUCUCAUCUUGCUCAUGACACAAGUACACAUCUGAAACACCAUACCAACUAAUCAUUAAAUAAGAAUUUGUUCAAAUGACUUGCCUAGUUAAAGGUUAAAUGAAAAAAACUAAGAAAUUGUGUUCAACUGGAUUGUUAUUAAGGUACAGAUUUGCUUGGUUUAGUUUUAAGGUUGCUCUCAGGUCUAGUGGGUGGGGAGAGGGCUUGUUUGUAAUGGUCUGUUUCAAUGCAGCCCAUAUCCACUACACUCUAAUUGGGCACAACACCGACAGUACCCCCUGGCUAUUCAUUUAAUUUGUUUUCAAACAGCCCCCCCUCACACUGUCUACCCCUGUCGUGUAUUUCCCAAAUAGUACAUAUGUAUUUUAGACUUAUUUUAGUUUCUCCUGUCCCUGUAUUUGAUCCUGUUCUAACCAAACAUUUUGUUAUUCUGGUAUAAAGAUACAUAUAUCUUAUGUGAGAUCAUUGUGAAGUGGAGAAAUCUGAACUGUAUUAUCUAGCAGAGCUGGAUGUGGGAGAGAAAGUGGAAAACAAUUUUAAAUAAAAGGUAAAUGUUAA
Oncorhynchus gorbuscha (pink salmon) is the source of this 3412-nucleotide RNA transcript. It is a transcript of the gene named citrate synthase, mitochondrial-like, with no coding region annotated. The transcript has 8 exons. NCBI's taxonomy places the organism in Eukaryota, Metazoa, Chordata, Actinopteri, Salmoniformes, Salmonidae. The record is from RefSeq and is a predicted model, not a curated record.